GAAGAAAGGCCAAGAGAAGCCGCCGAAGAGACCCUAAAGCACGGGGGGGGGGGGGGGGGGGGGGGGGGGGGAGGCGUGGUGAGAGAGAAAUACCGAGUCUGUGCACAUUCAGCAAGUGUCAGCGCCAAGUCUAGAAGCAGGGACCGGGGAGGGCGAGGGGAAGGUGAGAUGGUGACUCCGAAGCUCUGGUCUUCGAGACCGUCAGAUGCCCGCAGGACGGUCCCCAGCGCCCCUGGCUUUGCAGAGAGCGCGCGGCCGCCUUGGCUCGCGGAUUUGGCCGGUGUCCCGUUGGGGAGCAGACGGGGAAGAUCUGGCCUUUUGAACCCACCCAGAGGGCGACACCUGUGACCCUGGCGUCUACCUGGAACUUCGUGGGCGGUGCCCCCGGGGCUGCAACCUCGCAGGGAAGCUGGGCCGCGCGGCCAGGUGUCCGAGAGCGCGGCGUCUCGCCGUCCCGGGCGCCGCAGUCGCUGGGCAGCCCCGAUGCGGUGCGCGUCGCGGGGAGACCUCCCGGCCACUGUCACCUGAGCACAGACAACUUCCACACGUCUGCCGCCCAACGCCCCGACCGACGCGGGGAGCCUCUGACACCAGAAUAUAUGAGUGACACUUGCUCUUUGGGGGAGCACGGUCCCAAGGUUUAUCAAAAUGGGCUUAUUUUCCAUGGAGAAAGUGGUUCUGGAGAUGAAAAUCCUCAGAACUGCUGAAACUUCCCUUUCCACCUACUCGUGUUCACUGGAAAUAAUUGUGAACACAGGAGUACACUGAGCAAUGCAGCCAACGGCAGGGGGCACAGCUAGGCUGCUGACGCCGACACAAUACCAAAGUGCCUGCUCUGGGAUUGUCACCAGCAGGGACACUCCCUGCCCCUUACACCCCCUUACCUGGUUUCCAAGGGACUCACGGAAGCAAGGAGUCAUUAAGCUCUGGUGCAGCUGGUAACAGACCACGUUUUCUUCCCCUCUGGACCGCCUAAGUACUAUUAUUUAACCAGAAGCAGCAAAAAGUUGAGAUUCACCAAAUCCCAGACUGGACCUCCCAGACCCACAUCUAAAACAUUCCCAGCGUAAAAUCCCAGCUUGUCUCUAAAGAUCUCUGAGUCAAAAAGCCCCAAGUCUGUCUUAUUAGAGCUCAUUCUAGGACCUGGCAACUCUUGAGACUCAAGUCAGUCUUUGACUAACUUAGUCAUUCCAACCCCUUUUCCUUUCUGAAGAAAAGUGGUCUCUUUCCCAAUCAACACUUUGUGCUGAAGAAAUGAAUAAAAUGUCCACUAACCUUCUCAAAUUUUCUCCUGUCUUUGACUCCAGCCAUUUUUCUUUUCUAAAUCAAAUCCUUAUCUAAAGUCACACCAAAAACAAGUUGAUAAUAUUGAUUCUAUGUAUUUCUCCAAAUAAAAUCUCAGAAUCGUCAAGUACCAUUUCUCUCAUCCUUUUAUGAUUUCUAGAUAUGAACAUAAAAAUUAGACUAAUUUCAUGAUUAAAAUUAUAUUUUUAGAAGUUACUAUUGCCACCGUUUAUUUGCUGUUCCCAUCAUUUAUAUGCAAGAGAAGAAAGUCAACAAUACAAAUACCCAUGUGUUUUGACAUAAUAGAUGUAGGAAAAAGAGCAAGUGUGUAAUGUAUUAAUUAAUAAUUAAGUGUGUAAGUUAAUAAGUUACACACUUGCUCAAAGGAUAAAGAAAAUUCUACCCAUCCCAAACUGUUGUUAAUCAUGACUUUCAUGAAAUAAAGAUGAAAGUGCUGAGAAGACAUGCUCUCUGCUUCACAAGGUACAGUUGACCCUGGAACAACAUGGGGGCUUCAGGGCACUGACUUCCCACUGACCAGUCGAAAAUCCACCUAGAACAUUUGACUCCCCCCAAAUUGACUACUAAUAGCCUACUGUUGACCAGAAGCCUUACCUAUAACAUAAACAGGCAACAUAUUUUUGUAUCUUAUAUUAUUGUCUUCUUACAAUAAAGGAGGCUAGAGAAUAAAAAACAUUGUUAGGAAAAUCAUAAAAGAGAAAAUACAUUUAUAGUCUUGUAAAAUAUCUGUACAUAAGUGGACCUGUGCAGUUCCAACCCAUGUUAUUCCAGGGCCAGCUGCACUUCCAAACACGUAGACUCGUGGCAUCAUUCCUACCGAAAGCAAGAUGAGUUUGAGCCCACCGUCCCCCCUAGCGACAAGGUAGCUGAGACUAAAGUACAAGUAACCAGCCCGAGACAGUUGCAGACAGUAGUUGGGGAUGCCAAGGGCACUCUCCACGCCACUGCCCUCCCAGGGGAGCACUUUGCACACCAUGAACACCUCAAAGUGCCUCUUCUUACUCCAACAGCUGCUGGCUUCACAGAAGAGAUUAGAACUCUUCAUCAAUUCAACAAAUAAUCAUUGAACACCUGCCACAUGUCAGGCAAACUAGACAAAGGUCCCACCCUUAUGGCACUCACUGUUUAGUAGGGGUAAAUAAAUUUUUAAAAAACAAAUUCUUUUCUUUAUUCAUUUACCCAAUGUCUUGAGCAACUAAUCAAGUACUGUGGUAAGGGGGUAAAAAUAUAUCCAUACAUAAGAUAGGAAUAUCCCUCUGAAAAUAAGAAAAACACAAAAGAAUUAGAGUACAGAGUCAUUAGCUAGACAAUAUCACAGAAGUUAAGAGAAGGCAUCAGAUAAAUUUGCUUGGAUAGCACCACAGAGAUGUCAUCACCUGGGCUGUGGAGAGUUAGCAGUAGUCCCCAGAACCUAAAGCAGGGCCUGGCACAUAGCAGGAGCUCAGAAAUUGGUUGUUAAGUGAAUGAAUGGUGUGUUUCUCAAGUAGACAAAGGGAAGACAAUCCAGGUAAAGACCUCACAGUAGGAACAAAGGCUCCAAGAAAGACUAUGAAAGGGAUGAUAAAUAACCAAC
This 2878-nucleotide long non-coding RNA is filed under the name Canis lupus familiaris (dog). RNAcentral describes it as "lncRNA (ENSCAFG00000053866.1)". The record is from RNAcentral. Lineage: Eukaryota; Metazoa; Chordata; Mammalia; Carnivora; Canidae.